UCUGCCUAAAAACACAAACUGGGCAGAUUUGGACUCUAACACACUUUUGGGACACCUAAAAACACAAAUCAAAAUAGAUUUUGACUAAUAAAACACUUUAAAGUAAAGGGGGUUUUCGUUUUAACGAAUUUGAAAACAAAACAAGGAAAUUAAAGAACGAAUGAAAUCUGCACGAAUUUGAGUAAAUUGAAUGGAUGGAAGGCUAGCUAGGAGGUUCUUCUCCACACAUGACAUACUUGCACAUAAACCAAUUUUCAGUUGUUCUUUUGAUCAAUCAUGAAACUCAACACCCCAGGUUAAUUAAGUCCGCUUAAAUUAACCUUCAAGUUCUCCUUAAGUUAUUGAAUUGGAUGGGAAAGCGCAUACAACAAUUCAACCAUUCUUCAAAAGUUCUUUACGUGAACAGCACAAUAAAGAUACAAUCAAAGAUCAUUAAGCAUUAUAAAACUAUGAGUAUUGACGAGGCAUUCGUUACUAUGAUGAGCAUGAAACUCCUGCCAAGAAUUUAUUUAACGUGAUUGUUUAUAAGCGACCUCCAUUACUUGUGAAUAUAAGUUUGUAACUAUUAGGUGAAACUCCCUUAUACUCUAGCAUCAUAUUCAUGCAUGCAAACUAAGUGUGCACUCUUAAUAAACAUACACGAAUAAGUUAUCAAUCAAGCAGUUAAACAAAUUGAAUUCACAACUUAUGAAAUCACAAUUGAAGGUAAUCAAAUCAUAUUGCAAGCAUGAACAUGGUUUCGAAUUCCCCCUAGCUAAGGGGGGUUUAGUUCCUCAUACUCACAAAGCAAAGAUAAACAAAUAUAGACAUUGAAAACAAAAGAAUGAAAACACCUAAAAAUGCUCCAACAAUCUAACUUGAAUGGCAAGCACGUCCAAGGGUCCUCUUUCUUCUCUUUGUUGCAGCACAAGGUGUGGCUUGAUGGAUGAGUGGUAAAUUAUGGUGGUGGAUGGAUAUAGGUGAGUUAUGGUGAAGGGUGGAUGGGUGGAUUGUGUUCUCCCGGCUAAGGAAUGAAAGUGUAAGUGUAUGGAGUUGUGAGAUGUGAAUGUAGUGUCUUUUGAUGGAUCUUUUCUCCUCCCCCUUGUUAUGGUGAAGGGUGGAUGUAUUUAUAGGCUAGAGAGAGGACCACCAUCUAAUUAAGGUGGUAGUGGUGAUUGUUGUGGUAAUGAGUGGAUGUAAUGGGUGUAGUGGGUGAGUGUUUGGUGAUGAGUGGAUGUAAUGGGUGGUAAUGGGUGUAGUGGAUGGAUGUUUGGUAAUGAGUGGAUGUAAUGGGUGUAGUGGAUGAGUGUUUGGUAAUGAGUGGAUGUAAUGGGUGUAGUGGGUGGAUGUUUGGUAAUAAGUGGGUGUAAUAGGUGUAGUGGAUGGAUGUUUGGUAAUGAGUGGAUGUAAUGGGUGUAGUGGAUGGGUGUUUGGUAAUGAAUGGAUGUUAUGGGUGUAGUGGAUGGAUGUUUGGAGUUGUAGGUCAACACACUUGCACACACACAUGCUGAUUUCUAGCCUUCAAAUCUUCAAAAACGUCCAUCCUCAUGUCUCCAUGCUUGCACUAUCCAAUCUUGGCCCAAAAAUGCUCCAAAAUGCUCCAAAUAGCACUUUGUUGCUAACUUUGUUAUUUGAACCUACAAACACACGAAAAUAGCUUAAAAUACAUAAUUGACUAAGAAAUAACAACAUAAAUGCACAAGAACAAGCUAACUAAGUCGCAUAAAUAUGCUCCUAUCAAAUUCGCCCUUACUUAGCUUUUGCUAGUCCUCGAGCAAAACAAAACAAACGAAACAAACAAAACAUAACCUAGACCUUCCGACAUUUGCCUCAGGGAUUUUCAAUGAAACAUGACAUGCCAAAGAUCACCAUUUACAUAGAUUUAAGCAAUCCUUACCCUCGAGCAUACUUAAUCAUAGUCACCAUUCACUAGGUCACAUUUAAUCAAUUAAAACAACAUUUUGAAUGUAGUAACAUGCCUUAGAGAAUUCCCUCAAUUCCUUACUAGGUACUCUAUAUUUUCACACACAUUUUCUGACUACACACCUUACACUAGUUAUAUGUGAGAAGAUUGAUGUAAACAUGGAAGACUAGUACUCACAUAUGUUAUAACAAAGAAAGCAAUUUCUGGAGUUAAUAAGCAUGUUUAAAUAUGAUCUCAUGAAUGGUAUGCUACUACUUAGAUGCGAGAACCAGUGACACCAUAUAUUCAUACCAAUUUCGAACUCCACAAAUUGAAACACACAACACUCAAGAUUGAAGUCAAGGGUUGUAACAGGGCUUGGGGGUAAUGGCUAACAAAGAAAUGAUAGGAAUAACAAAGGUUCUUAAAGUGAUAGCAAGCAAAGCAAUGAAAUAGACACUUGGAAUUCUCUUUAGAAUGCAGAAUCAACUUUUACAUAUAAAGGGAAGAUUCAUGCAACACUUAGGGCCGAAUUCAAUGUUUUGGACCCUUUUUUAACAAACAACACUUUAGAGCUCUUGCUCAUACUCUUUUUUCUUUUCUCUACCCGUGCCUUAUUAAGGACUUUGGCACACACACACACAAUAAUCACUUCCCCCACACUUGUUUUUCUGCAAGAGUUCAACAAAAGGAAAUCCUUCUAAAUUAUGUUUUACUAUGCUUCAAGAACAAGGGUAUGGAUGGUCCUAUUCUAGGCUAGGUGAGGAUAGUGUGGGUAACAAAGAACAUAGGCUACACAAGGCUCAACGGGGUUAAACUUAAACACAUAAUGAACGGGAUAGGCUUUUUGGCUCUUGGCUCACUAAACAACUUCAUCUUGAAUAUGUGUUAUGCAAAUCAAUAACAUGCUUUGAAUGAAAUAGGCAUGAGUUCUAGUAUUUGGAACUAAAUGAUGAAACGCAUUCUAAAUAGCAACCAAGCAAAGAAUAAUGGGAUCAUGCAACGACUUUAGAAAACAACGAUGCAUAGAUUAUUAACUCUCCAAAUAAACGUUUAGCCUCAAGUCUCACAAGGUUAUAGCGUUCAUUUGAGUUCCUUCUUUCAAGCAUGUUACAAAAACUGAUUUUUUUUUUCUUUAUGAUUGCAUGUGAAUUCAUAAAUUAUAACCACAACCAAGCAUACACCAAAGAGUAAAUUAAAUUUUUAUCCAAGUUUAUAACUCUCUUUAACAGUCAUGUAAUUAAAAACCAAAUCCUCAUCAUUGUGUUGGAAGGUACCCUAAGACACAAAUAAACAUACAAAAACAACUCUUUUUGGGUUUUUCAAAACAAUUUUUCAAAUUUUUAUGAGAUUUUCGGAUUUUUAUAACAAAACACACUAAAACACUCCAAAACAGCUUAAAACAGCAAGGAACAACACUAGAAGUAAUGGGUGAUAAACUCCUACGAAUUUCAUGCAAAACAACUUGGUUACCCCCCCCCCCUCACUUAAAUCAAACAUUGUCCUCAUUGUUUCAAGCAUAAACUCACACAAAAAUAAGCAAACAAACAAACAACGAAUAAACAUGACAAGUAUGGCAAGGUAAAAACCAGACAGAGUAGAGUUUAAGAACGCAAAUCUGGUUUUGGAGAUAGAUGAUCUUGUUGACUUUCCACAACUUUGAUCUCAAACUGGUUUGGAAUUUUGAGCGAGGACUAUGAGAGUUCCUUGGUUUCAAAUCAGACUCCUUCUGCUGGGUUGAUUUGAUUGUGCAGUCUGCAUUCUUCUCUGCUUGUUUCUUCUGCACGGCAGGCAGGCACGAGGUAGAGGUGUUGGUCUGUUUCUUUCUUCAAUCUUUCUAAGUGCCCACCUCUUGCUUUCUUUCUCCUUGUCCCUAGCUGAGGAUGAAUUGGCAAAUUGUCUCCACAUGCUUCGAGGUAUCAUUUUCACUUCCCUUAUCUGUUCCCCAGGCAGAUGUGGUAGACGAAAAGGAGGCAUAAAAUGAUGAAGAUGAGUACUCCAGAGCAAGGCUAGGUAAGCAAUUAGGAAGGGGUUCCAGGCAGUCGGUUCCAGAUCGGAAGAUUGAUACCAAGUGCUGGCUAAUUGCUCUCUUUCUCCUUGUCCCAAAACAACGACAAGGAGAAGGACAGGAAGAAAGCAUGAUAUGAGAUACUCUUGCUUUCAACCUUCAUGAUGUGAAAUACUUUUGCUUUGGAUGAGUUGUUUGCAGAGGUACCCCAAGGAAUAAGGAACACUGAGUGACUCGAGAGGGUUUGUUGGAAAGGCAUUCUCGGAGAAGAAGAAGGGUUAUGUAUGUCUGCCUUACAAUGAAGGGUGAAGGGUGACAUUUAUAGGAAUUAAUAACCGGUACUAUUCUUUCACUCUUGUCAGCAACCGUUGGAUCAUUUAAUAGUAAACUUUACGUGUUUUCUACUUCACAAGAGAUCUUCGACAAAUUGCCCGUAAUUUCUGCAAGGCUGAGUGUGCAUGUGACAGGCGUUGACACGUCUAGAAAAACAAGUGCCUCUUCGAUAUCUGGAAUCGGGGCUUCGACAAACUGCCCAUGAUUUCCGCAAAGCUGACUCUGCAUGUGACAGAUGCUAACACUUCUGGAAAAGCAAAUGCCUCCCCGAUUUCUGAGCUUGCUUCUUCGAUCUCUGAAAUCCCGUCGAGUGCAGAGGUUGCAUGUGACAAGUGUGGACAAAUCUGGAAAAGAAGAUUGGCCGUGGUUUUUAAGCAAGCCCAGCUUUUGAGAAAGUUAGCGCCUCUUCGAUUUUUGAGUUGGCCUCUUCAAUUUCUGAGCUCGCCUCUUCGAUCUCUGAAAUCCUGUCGAGUGCUGAUUUUUAAAAAGGUACGCAGGACGUUCAAAGGACACUUGAAUUUCUGCCUGUAGAAACUCCUGUCUUGCACUUCUACUAUCUUGACUUGUCCGACCUCUACUUUUUUUAACACCUCUGAAAAUGUUUGGCCCCUCCGACCGUCGUUUUGACUUGAACCUUGGUGAAGAGGCAGUCCCGCCUUCUCCAGACAACAUAUGGCGCCCAUCUUUCAUAUCCCCUACUGGUCCCCUUACCGUUGGGGAUUCGGUGAUGAAGAAUGAUAUGACAGCUGCGGUGGUGGCCAAGAACCUUGUCACUCCCAAAGAUAACAGACUACUUGCCAAAGGGUCUGAUGAGUGGCUGUUAAGGAUUCUCUGGCUCUCAGUGUGCAGUGUGCAGGUUCUGUGUCUAAUAUGGCCCAACGCGUAUUUGCUCGAACCCGUCAAGUUGAAUCAUUGGCCGCUGAAGUGAUGAGUCUCAAAUAGGAGAUUAAAGGGCUCAAGCAUGAGAAUAAACAUUUGCACAGGCUCGCACAUAACUAUGCUACAAACAUGAAGAUGAAGAUUGACCAGAUGCAGGAAUCUGAUGGUCAGAUUUUACUUGAUCAUCAGAGGUUUGUGGUUUGUUCCAACAGCAAUUGCCUUUUUCUUCUGGGGCUGUACCGCGUAAUGAAGCUCCAAAUGAUCAACCUCCGAAGCUUCCUCCUUCUGGGGCUCCGCCGACUGCUGAGGCUCAGCCGACUACUGAGAUUUCUCCUAAGCAGCCUUUGUGAAGGCUCCCUCUUGUAUUUUUCUGCUUAAUGUUCCUUUCUUUUUUAUGAAAAUGAAUAUAAAAAUACCUUGCAUAACUGUCAGUGUUUCAAAAAUAAACCCACACCCAAAAAAAUUAAAUAAGCAACAAAUAAAAAUGACAAUCAUGGCAAAAUAAAAUGCAGAAAAGGGAAGGUUUUUUAGAAACGCAAAACUGAUUGUGGAGCGAUUCAAAAAUCUUCCUCAUUUGAAUACAUGGGUUGCCUCCCAAGAAGCGCUUGCUUUAACGUCUUCCAGCCGGACGAAACUUCCUUCUAAACUUGGAUAGGGCCCAUAGCAUGGAAUUGAUCCUUGAAUGGAAGGUGAUACUUGACGUGAUCCGACAAUGGUUUAAAUUCUAGUGUAGGUGCCUGAAUCAUCAAAAUCAGCAAGUUAGUAUAUAAUAAAAUCGAAGUUGGAGAAGAUGGCUUGCUUGCUUGCUCCAACACAAACUCAAUUACGAACACCACAUCUUUGAAGGUUGCAGGGAUAUGGGACUUGGCCAGAUCUGGUGUUUUGAGAGUUAUGACUUGUCCCGUGUCAUAAAAUCUAACUUCUUUGGGAAUUUUCGUCUCAAGUGUAUCUUCUUUGAUGAAUUCUAGACAUUCCUUAUCCACUUCUUGCUUUUGAUUCUUUGGAAAGGUUUCGAAGAUGCCUUUCUCACCCUCUUCUUCCUUGGAUUGCAUGAUCCUGCAAGGAAUAAGGACAUUUGGUGAAACGGGGUUAGGACAAAUUAAAUUUAGGCUUACCUUGGUUGUAGUGGACGACAUAGAGGGCAUAUGGGGCUGCGGCAAGGGUGGUUUUUCCCUUGCCGUGGCCUUGUUAUUCUCCUCUUCUUCGAGCAACAACUGUUCAUCCAUGUUUUGGCUUGGUUUGGAUGUCUUCGGUUCACCUUCAACCUCCAUAGCACUUCCCAAAGUGAUAGCAUCAUGGAUUUCAAAAUCUUCCUUCAAAAUUUCAAUAGUUGAGUUGGAGAGUUCACUUUGCUCUUAAAUUUGUGCCAUGAACUCCAUAAUCUACCUAAUUUGCUUCUCCAAUUCUCCCGUCUUCUUAGCUUGAUUUUGCGUCUCUUUGUUUCCAUUUUCUACUUCCUGGUUCAAAGAGGUGAGUAACUUAUUAAACAGAUCAUUAUCCAAAGACGUACCUGAAUUGAAUUGGGUAGAUUGUUGUGGUGGCUGCAUAGGUCUUGAAUAGAACUCCUCUUCUUGCUGCCAAUACCCAUCUUGUUGGAAUUAUUGAGGUUCUCCCCACAUGUAAUCUGAAUAAUCUCUCCAAUCCGAAUUGUAAGCGUUGGAAAACAUGUUGUCCCAUGAUUGGCUAUGGCCUUGAUAACCCAAAGCAUCUUCAUUCGCAGCGAAUUGAGAACAUUGAUGAGUUGGAUAUCCUUGCCCAUAGGACAUACCAUAUGUAGGGACACUUUGCAUUGUGGUACCUUCGGCAUAUUGUGACAAUUGAGAAGUAAGUUUUGCCGAUUGAGCUUGAAUGGUAGCAAAAUCCAUGUCUUACUUCUCUAGUACCUGAAAUCAAGGAAACAAAACUAAAUCAAAUAUCAUAAGUAAAAAUAAAAGACAAAAAUAGAAACAAAGUCAGUAACUAAAACAAAAGACAUGAAAAAGAAACAAUGGGGGAUUAGCAAAGUUGCUAAUCCCCGACAACGGCGCCAAAAAUUUGGUGCGAAAAUUAAUUAACACACAAAUUAAACCAUCUUGUUGUCAAAUUGUAGUAUAAAUGCAAGUAGGGAUCGUUCUAAACCCGGGAUUAGGAGGGCUUGCUAAAACCUCUAAACUGACUUAAAAACAUAUAAACAAAGUUAAAAACACUAAACUAGACUCAAAGAACUUAAAACAAACUCAAAGGACUCAAAACAAGCUAAAAACGCUCAAAUCUGCCUAAAAACACAAACUGGGCAGAUUUAGACUCUAACACACUUUUGGGACACCUAAAAACACAAAUCAAAACAGAUUUUGACUAAUAAAAACUUUAAAGUAAAGGGGGUUUUGGUUUUGACGAAUUUAAAAACAAAACAAGUAAAUUAAAGAACUAAUGAAAUCUGCACGAAUUUGAGUAAAUUGAAUGGAUGGAAGGCUAGCUAGGAGGUUCUUCUCCACACAUGACAUACUUGCACAUAAACCAAUUUUCAGUUGUUCUUUCGAUCAAUCAUGAAACUCAACACCCCAGGUUAAUUAAGUCCGCUUAAAUUAACCUUCAAGUUCUCCUUAAGUUAUUGAAUUGGAUGGGAAAGCGCUUACAACAAUUCAAGCAUUCUUCAAAAGUUCUUUACGUGAACAACACAAUAAAGAUACAAUCAAAGAUCAUUAAGCAUUAUGAAAACUAUAAGUAUUGACGAGGCAUUCGUUACUAUGAUGAGCAUGAAACUCCUACCAAGAAUUUAUUUAACGUAAUUGUUUAUAAGCGACCUCCACUACUUGUGAAUAUAAGUUUGUAACUAUUAGGUGAAACUCCCUUAUACUCUAGCAUCAUAUUCAUGCAUGCAAACUAAGUGUGCACUCUUAAUAAACAUACACGAAUAAGUUAUCAAUCAAGUAAUUAAACAAAUUGAAUUCACAACUUAUGAAAUCACAAUUGAAGGUAAUCAAAUCAUAUUGCAAGCAUGAACAUGGUUUCGAAUUCCCCCCUAGCUAAG
This 8112-nucleotide long non-coding RNA is filed under the name Malus domestica (apple). RNAcentral's name for it is "long non-coding RNA (MDOM_LNC001747)". Lineage: Eukaryota; Viridiplantae; Streptophyta; Magnoliopsida; Rosales; Rosaceae. The record is from RNAcentral.